This 100-nucleotide microRNA precursor is filed under the name Procavia capensis (Cape rock hyrax). RNAcentral's name for it is "miRNA (ENSPCAG00000020315.1)". Lineage: Eukaryota; Metazoa; Chordata; Mammalia; Hyracoidea; Procaviidae. The record is from RNAcentral.
GCCUGGCACCGCGGAGGUGCUCUGUAAAUAUUUAUUGGAUGAAUGACACUCAGUAAACACUCAUUUCCAACAAAACCUCCUCUAUGCCUGGCCUGGUGCU